Gopherus evgoodei (Goodes thornscrub tortoise) is the source of this 3112-nucleotide RNA transcript. It is a transcript of the gene named Rieske Fe-S domain containing, with no coding region annotated. Lineage: Eukaryota; Metazoa; Chordata; Testudines; Testudinidae. The transcript has 6 exons. The record is from RefSeq and is a predicted model, not a curated record.
UUAUUGUAGCUGCAGGUGAAUCCAGUCAUCAUCAUCAGCAGCAGCUAUGAAGGUUUCAAGUCUAAAACUGAAUUUCUAGGCUGUUAGCAGUAGGUGGCUUUGUCCGUCUUUCUUAAAAUAACGUGUUCCAAGCGCCUCGAUGCUGCACAUAGUGAUGCACGUGCUUUAUGCAGGUGAAUAGUCCCGAGGACUGAAACUUUUCAUCAUUGACUUCAGCCGCCCUAGCUACAGAACCCAAGAGUUGACCCCGUACUGUCCGCAUCUGUGAAUUCAAAUGAAAUGGCCUGGUCUUAAGGGGCUCACAUGUCUCCUACUGGCGGAACAACCAUGGAUAAUGGCUCUUCCCCCCGGGCUUCUGGAUGGCAGAAGUCUCCCCUCUGAAUUUCUGCUCUUUCAUCCCAAACGUUUUGGGAGCGAGCAGCGCCAGCAAAGGCUGCGCAUACCGUGCUCCCCGCCCCACCGGCCCGAUGCGACCAUCAUCUCCCUCUUGUGCCAGCCUCCAUAUCCAUCAGCGCGCAGUACUGAGCCUCUCCGCUAGGGGGCAAUGAGGCCCGGCUCCAUCGCCGGGACUCCCUCGAGUCACGCGCAGGAGGUGAGCUCGUCACUUGUCACAUGGCGCUCAGGGCUCCAAUAGCCUGGUAGGUCUCUUUGUCACGUGUUUCUCCGCAGCCCCCUCUUUCGUGGAAGCACUUCUCGCCGUGGGGUGCUAGCUCGGUCGCCGCUGCCGGACCCACCCAUAAGUGCGAAGGGAUUGGUUCUACCGGCGGAGAACGCUUGGCGCGAGCUCUGUUAUGUGGCCUAUCAGAGUCGAGCGGGCGCGAUGCUUGCCGGAAGUUGUAGUCUGUGCUUGAGCGCGGUGCCUGCCGGAAGUUGAAGUCUCCCCAACGGGGUGGGCCUUGAGGCCGGCUGCGGCGGCGCAGUGAUAUCUCUUGGCCCGGCUGUGCGUGACGCACAUUUGAAGGGGGGCUGUCUGCACGGUACUGAGGGCGGGGAUCCAGUGUGCGCAGAGGCGGCGUUGCCGUCACGAUCUCUCAGCUCCUUCGGAAAGCCUUUUGCAUUAAAGAAGCACUUAUCAGAGCUGAUACAUAGAGAACAAAGCAGGCUUGGAUGUGAUGGAGCUAUAGAAGGGAACUGCACUCGUUACGUCGCAACUUCAUUUUUUCAUCCAUGUCAUGCUCUAGUGUGGAUCUAAGGACAUGGAUUUGCACAGCUCAAUUGAAACACCUGAUAAAGUGAAGGCUGAUUCUCCUGUAUAUGUUGGUAAAGAAGAAGACAUAAAACAGUCCCAAAGAAUAACAGCCAGUGUCCAUGACAGAGAAGUUGUCGUUUUCUACCAUGAAGGGAAAUUUUAUGCCAUGGACUGUCGCUGUUACCAUGCAGGAGGUCCUUUACAUCUUGGACAGAUAGAGGAUAUCAAUGGACAGCCCUGCAUUAUUUGCCCUUGGCACAAGUAUAAAAUUACUUUGGCAACAGGAGAAGGCUUAUAUCAAGCAAUAAACCCUACAGAACCAUCCGCAACACCAAAAUGGCGAUCAAAAGGAAUAAAGCAAAGAACUCACAAGGUUACUAUAGACAAUGGAAGUGUUUAUGUGACUCCUUCGGACUUAUCUAUCAGCUGUGACUCUGAUUACUAUGCUGAUAAAUACAAAAAGACUGGAAGUUCUCAUAUGAAAAAAUAAUGUACAUCCUGAACUUCAAAAUCAGUGGCCAUAAUGCAAAAUACCAGUGUCUGUGUACAAGGCAUUAUCAGUAUCACAGAAUAUGCAAAUUUUUUCCUAGAUACUAAUAUAAAGAAAUACCAGUGUUAAUCUUAUUAAAGCAUUAAGUAAUAUAGAAAUGAGUAAGAUCAUAAACAAGUUCAAGACCCUCUCUGGAAUGAAUUAACAUUGUGCCAGUGCAGUUUUAUAUUUGCCUUUAAUAAAAUACAAGUUUAAUGUAUGUACAUUAGCCUAGUUUGAAGUGUUAAAUCUUCCAUUGCUAGAGUUAAAAUCUUUUAACAUUUAGGAGGAGGAAUAUAAUGCAUUUAAUUAGUUUAUAAAAACCAUCUUGAAAUGUUAACUAUCCAUUGAGGGACAAUUUUUUUAAUACGUUGAAAUUAUUAUAGUUCUAAACUACAUAAUGUAAUUGGGAGAUUUUUUUAAAUGUUAUUUGCAGGUCAGGAGAAAAAGCUGUUAUUUUAUCUUCUUAACACACAGGACCAGAGUUUCAUAAAAUGAGGAUGACUGCAGGAAACAUCUAAAAAACAAAGGAAGUGUGUGCAGGGAGGACUGUACCCAGUCUGGGAAGAUGUCUGGCCUGUGAAAAAUGCCUGGCGUUUCAAGCUGCAUGCAAGAGCAGCUUGCCUUCAAGAACCUCUGCAUUCUGCCCAAAACAAUAUUUAGGGUGAGAAACUACUACUUGUAACCAGGUUUUUGGUAUCGUAAGCUUAUAUUGCAUUUUUGUUUUCUUUGCUGGGUAAUCUGUUUGAUCUCUUAGAUUUGCAAUCUUAGAUUUUAAGUGAUUAUAUCCUUUGUAGUUAAACUUGUUUUUCUUUUCUCUGAAGCCAGUUUGUGGAAUUCAUAACUGGAGGGGGACAAAAGUUUGUGUCACUAAGAAAUUUAAAUGCUAUAGAACAUGGCACUAAAAAUAUUCAUAAGGCCCUCAGCCACAACUGUUCUGAGGGACAUGGCUAUUGAAAGAAAAAUCUAAGGAACACUGAAGACAUUAAGCUAUUUGUACUAAUUUUAUUAACAAAUAGAGAAUGUAAAUUCUGUAUAUGUUAAGUGUCUUUGUUUAAACAUUCAGUGCACUAACAGAGCUCACAAGCCUGUUUGAGCUUACAGUACUUAGUAGUGGAACUUAUCUUGAUCCAGUGCAGAAUGUAGGAUGUGAAUGGUGCUCUUAGUUGAAUCUUCAACAGGAAAUUCAGAAAAUGCUUGCUUCUCUGGAGAGGGUACAGUGUAACUUGCUAAAUCUUCAUAUUUGGAGAAUACAUCUUUUUCUUCCUCAUUCUUAGCGUUUUCUCUUGAGGUCUUUUCUUCUUGAACAAUGUAUUUUAUUUUCCCUAAUACUGUGUUAAUAGAGACUGCCUACAUACAAUAAAGAUAUAGAGUUUAGUUGAAGAAAACCAUAA